RNAcentral lists this ribosomal RNA (390 nucleotides) under uncultured bacterium. Its description in RNAcentral is "bacterial SSU rRNA". It matches the Rfam family "Bacterial small subunit ribosomal RNA", at positions 329 to 711 of the family's 1533-position model. The record is from RNAcentral.
GCCCAGACUCCUACGGGAGGCAGCAGUGGGGCCUCUUGCACAAUGGGCGCCAGCCUGAUGCCGCCAUGCCGCGUGUCUGAAGAAGGCCUUCGGGUUGUAACGAACUUUCAGCGGGGCGGACGGCGAUACGGUUAAUAACCUUGUUGAUUGACGUUACCCGCAGAAGAAGAACCGGCUAAAUCCGUGCCAGCAGCCGCGGUAAUACGGAGGGUGCAAGCGUUAAUCGGAAUUACUGGGCGUAAAGCGCACGCAGGCGGUCGUUCAGGUCGGAGGUGAAAUCCCCGGGCUCAGCGUGGGAACUGCAUUCGAAACUGGCAGGCUGGAGUCUUGUAGAGGGGGGUAGAAUUCCAGGUGUAGCGGUGAAAUGCGUAGAGAUCUGGAGGAAUACCG